Molecule: ribosomal RNA, 254 nt
Filed under: uncultured bacterium
Lineage: Bacteria
Description: partial 16S ribosomal RNA
Rfam family: Bacterial small subunit ribosomal RNA
Source: RNAcentral
UACGGGGGGAGCAAGCGUUGUCCGGAUUUACUGGGCGUAAAGGGCGCGUAGGCGGUCAGCACAAGUCAGUUGUGAAAUCUCCGGGCUUAACUCGGAAAGGUCAACUGAUACUGUGCGACUAGAGUGCAGAAGGGGCAACUGGAAUUCUCGGUGUAGCGGUGAAAUGCGUAGAUAUCGAGAGGAACACCUGCGGCGAAGGCGGGUUGCUGGGCUGACACUGACGCUGAUGCGCGAAAGCCAGGGGAGCGAACGGG